Long non-coding RNA from Oncorhynchus keta (chum salmon), 1478 nucleotides. RefSeq lists it as uncharacterized. Lineage: Eukaryota; Metazoa; Chordata; Actinopteri; Salmoniformes; Salmonidae. The record is from RefSeq and is a predicted model, not a curated record. The transcript is spliced from 4 exons.
UAUUUGGCACUGCAUCAAUUUAUCACAAGGAAUGAUCAAUUUUUACAGUUAUGGCAUGUCAAACUGUAAAAAUGUCAUGUGGUGGAACCGUCCGAGGUUGAAUUUCAACAGAAAAAGUGUUGUGAAAUAUUGUAACCCCAAAGAAAACUGCAAAUAUUUAACUAUGUGAUUAUAUUAUGAAAUAUUGCCCAAAUAUUGAGUUUAUCAGGCUAAAACCCAGAUGCAGAUGCAGACACAGGGGUCUCAUAGUUUAUUACAGUACAAGGGGCAGGCAAAAGGUAAGUCAAGGCAGGCAAAGGGUCAUAAUCCAAAUCAGAUUGUAGACAGGUACAGGACAGCAGGCAAUCAGUAGGUGCAGGCAAAGAGUCAUAAUCCAAAUCAGAUUGUAGACAGGUACAGGACAGAGUCAUAAUCCAAAUCAGAUUGUAGACAGGUACAGGACAGAGUCAUAAUCCAAAUCAGAUUGUAGACAGGUACAGGACAGAGUCAUAAUCCAAAUCAGAUUGUAGACAGGUACAGGACAGAGUCAUAAUCCAAAUCAGAUUGUAGACAGGUACAGGACAGAGUCAUAAUCCAAAUCAGAUUGUAGACAGGUACAGGACAGAGUCAUAAUCCAAAUCAGAUUGUAGACAGGUACAGGACAGAGUCAUAAUCCAAAUCAGAUUGUAGACAGGUACAGGACAGAGUCAUAAUCCAAAUCAGAUUGUAGACAGGUACAGGACAGAGUCAUAAUCCAAAUCAGAUUGUAGACAGGUACAGGACAGCAGGCAAUCAGUAGGUGCAGGCAAAGAGUCAUAAUCCAAAUCAGAUUGUAGACAGGUACAGGACAGAGUCAUAAUCCAAAUCAGAUUGUAGACAGGUACAGGACAGAGUCAUAAUCCAAAUCAGAUUGUAGACAGGUACAGGACAGAGUCAUAAUCCAAAUCAGAUUGUAGACAGGUACAGGACAGCAGGCAAUCAGUAGGUGCAGGCAAAGAGUCAUAAUCCAAAUCAGAUUGUAGACAGGUACAGGACAGAGUCAUAAUCCAAAUCAGAUUGUAGACAGGUACAGGACAGAGUCAUAAUCCAAAUCAGAUUGUAGACAGGUACAGGACAGAGUCAUAAUCCAAAUCAGAUUGUAGACAGGUACAGGACAGAGUCAUAAUCCAAAUCAGAUUGUAGACAGGUACAGGACAGAGUCAUAAUCCAAAUCAGAUUGUAGACAGGUACAGGACAGAGUCAUAAUCCAAAUCAGAUUGUAGACAGGUACAGGACAGAGUCACAAUCCAAAUCAGAUUGUAGACAGGUACAGGACAGAAGGCAAUCAGUAGGUGCAGGCAAAGAGUCAUAAUCCAAAUCAGAGUCAGGCAGGUACCAGAUGGCAGGCAGGAUCAAGGUUAGGGGAACAGGCAAAAAGGUCAGAACUAGGAAGAAUAAGAAAAACAAAAACUAGAGCACAGGAAUCACGGCAACACGCUGGUAGGACUUGACGGGACAAG